RNAcentral lists this ribosomal RNA (362 nucleotides) under uncultured Gordonia sp. Its description in RNAcentral is "bacterial SSU rRNA". It matches the Rfam family "Bacterial small subunit ribosomal RNA", at positions 505 to 866 of the family's 1533-position model. The record is from RNAcentral. Lineage: Bacteria; Bacillati; Actinomycetota; Actinomycetes; Mycobacteriales; Gordoniaceae.
GUGCCAGCAGCUGCGGUAAUACGUAGGGUGCGAGCGUUGUCCGGAAUUACUGGGCGUAAAGAGCUCGUAGGCGGUUGUCGCGUCGUCUGUGAAAUUCUGCAACUCAAUUGCAGGCGUGCAGGCGAUACGGGCAGACUUGAGUACUACAGGGGGAGACUGGAAUUCCUGGUGUAGCGGUGAAAUGCGCAGAUAUCAGGAGGAACACCGGUGGCGAAGGCGGGUCUCUGGGUAGUAACUGACGCUGAGGAGCGAAAGCGUGGUAGCGAACAGGAUUAGAUACCCUGGUAGUCCACGCCGUAAACGGUGGUACUAGGUGGUGGGUUCCUUUCACGGGAUCCGUGCCGUAGCUAACGCAUUAAGUA